Molecule: non-coding RNA, 275 nt
Filed under: Ditibartonella apis
Lineage: Bacteria; Pseudomonadati; Pseudomonadota; Alphaproteobacteria; Hyphomicrobiales; Bartonellaceae
Source: RNAcentral
AUUGUUUGUACCGAGCCUUUGCCAAAAGAUUGCGUGCCAAGAAUCGUUGCACGGCGAUGAUCCUGCAAGGCGCCAGCGACGAUUUCGGAAGCACUGGCCGACCCGCCAUUGAUGAGAACAAUCAACGGCUUGCCAUUGGAUAUGUCGCCCGGUUUUGCGUCAAAGCGCAUGACUUCUGCCUGAUCACGUCCACGCGUUGAAACAAUUUCACCUUUAUCAAGGAAUGCAUCCGAUACACUGACAGCCUGAUCCAGUAAUCCACCCGGAUUCAAACG